GUUCUCCUGUUUUCGGACAGGGCCUGAGGCCGAUUUCCCCUGAAUAGGAUCAAAGAAGUGAGGGGACUAGCCUAGGGCCUGGAACACCCAGAGGGUGGCUGCUGGGGGCGUGAGAACUGGGUAGGGGUGCCUCCAGGAAGUCCUCUUAUGUGUGCUUCUUUGUUCAUUUGACAAGGAUUUGCUGAGCACCUACUAUGCAUCAGACGCUGUGUUCUAGGCAAGGGGGAUACACCUGAUGGAAGAAGGUCCUUCCCUAGACGUAGCUAACAUCCCAGUGUGGGAGAUGACACGAAACAAACUAGAUACUGCUCCUGGAGGCCUGGGUGUGACCGUGACGUAGACUCUGGAGCCACAGGAUAGACCAGUGACCUCAUUUUUCUUGCCAGACUCAGCCUGCCUGCACCCAGGUGAUUAAAAAGCUUUAUUGCUCACACAAAGACUGUUUAGUGGUCUCUUCACAUGGAUGCACGUGACAUUUGGUGCCAUGACUCUGAUCGGGGGACCUCCCUUGGGAGAUCAAUCCCCUGUCCUCCUGCUCUUUGCUCUGUGAGAAAGAUCCACCUAUGACCUCGGGUCCUCAGACCAAGCAGCCCAAGGAACAUCUCACCAAUUUUAAAUCGGGUGAGUGGCCUCUUUUUACUCUCUUCUCCAACCUCUCUCACUAUCCCUUAACCUCUUUCUCCUUUCAAUCUUGGCGCCACCCUUCAAUCUCUCUCUUCCCUUAAUUUCAGUUCCUUUCCUUUUCUGGUAGAGACAGAGGAGAUGCGUUUUAUCCAUGAACCCAAAACUCCGGCACCAGUCACAGGCUCGGGAAGACAGUCUUCCCUUGGUGUUUAAUCACUGCGGGAUGCCUGCCUGAUUAUUCACCCACGUUUCAGAGGUGUCUGAUCACCGCAGGGACGCCUGCCUUGAUCCUUCACCUUAGUGGCAAGUACCACUUUGCUGGGGCACAAAUACCCCCCACCCCUUCUCUCCAUGUCUCUACCCUCUCUUUUCUCUGGGCUUGCCUCCUUCACUAUGGGCAACCAUCCACCCUCCAUUCCUCCCUCUUCUCCCUUAGCCUGUGUUCUCAAAGACUUAAAACCUCUUCAGCUCACACCUGACCUAAAACCUAAACACCUUAUUUUCUUCUGCAAUGCUGUUUGACUCCAAAACAAACUCGACGAUGGUUCCAAAUAGCCAGAAAACGGCACUUUCAAUUUCUCCAUCCUACAAGAUCUAGAUAAUUCUUGUCAUAAAAUGGGCAAAUGGUCUGAGGUGCCUGACAUCCAGGCAUUCUUUUACACAUCGGUCCCUCCCUAGUCUCUGUUCCCAAUGUGACUCACCCCAAAUCCUCCUUCUUUCCCCCCCACCUGUUCCCUCAGUCCCAACCCCAAGCAUCGCUGAGUCUUUUCAAUCUUCCUUUCCUACUGACCCAUGUGACCUCUCCCCUCCUCCCCAGACUGCUCCUCUUCAGGUCGCUCCCCGCCAAGCUAAAUCAGGCUCCGAUUCUUCCUUGGCCUCUGCUCCUCCACCCUAUAAUCCUUCUAUCACCUCCCCUGUGCACACCUGGUUCAGCUUACAGUUUCAUUCUGAGACUAGCCCUCCCCCACCUGCCCAACAAUUUCCUCUUAGAGCGGUGGCUGGAACUGAAGGCAUAGUCAGGGUACAUGUGCCUUUUUCUCUAUCAGACCUCUCUCAGAUCAGCCAGUGUUUAGGCUCUUUCUCAUCAGACCCCACUAAAUAUAUACAGGAAUUCCAAUAUCUAACUCUGUCCUACAAUUUAACCUGGAGUGACUGAAAUGUCAUCCUAACUUCUACCCUAUCCCCAGAUGAAUGGGAAAGAGUUUUUUCUCCAGCCCAAUCUCACGCUGAUAACUGCCGGCUUCAAGAGCCAGACCUCCAGGAAGGCAUUAGAGCAGUUCCCCGAGAGGAUCCCCAAUGGAACUAUCAGGCAGAUUCCCCAGGUAUAGCUAGGCAAGAUUAUAUAAUUUCCUGCCUAGUUGAAGGGUGUAAAAAGGCAGCUUACAAAGCUGUUAAAGAACUGUUAAAGAACAAAGCUUAAAGAAACUACCCAAAGUAAACAUGAAAACCCCGCCCAGUUCAUGGCUGGUUUGGCAGCAACCGUGAGAUGCUUUACAACGCUAGACCCUGAAAGGUCAGAAGGCCGUCUUAUUCUCAAUAUGCAUUUUAUCACCCAGUCAGCUCCUGACAUUAAAAAAAACUUCAAAAAUUAGAAUCCGGCCCUCAAACCCCACAAAAGGAAUUAAUUAACCUCGCCUUCAAGGUGUACAAUAAUAGAAAAGAGUUGCAAUUACUUGCCUCCACUGUGAGAGAAACCCCAGCCACAUCUCCAAUACACAAGAACUUCAAAACACCUAAAUCCACAGUGGUCAGGCAUUCCUUCAGGACCUCCUCCCCCAGGAUCUUGCUUUAAGUGCCAGAAAUCUGGCCACUGGGCCAAGGAAUGCCUGCAGCCCAGGAUUCCUCCUAAGCUGUGCCCCAUCUGUGUGGGACUUCACUGGAAAUCGGACUGUCCAACUCACCAGGCAGCCACUCCCAGAGCCCCUGGAACUCUGGCCCAAGGCUCUCUGACUGACUCCUUCCCAGAUCUUCUUGGCUUAGUGACUGAAGACUGACAUUGCCCAAUCACCUCGGAAGCCUCCUGGACCAUCACAGAUGCUUUGGGUAACUCUUACAGUGGAGGGUAAGUCCGUCCCCUUCUUAAUCAAUACGGAGGCUACCCACUCCACAGUACCUUAUUUUCAAGGGCCUGUUUCCCUUGCCUCCAUAACUGUUGUGGGUAUUGACGGCCAGGCUUCUAAACCUCUUUAAAACUCCCCAACUCUGAUGCCAACUUGAAGAACAGUUUUUAUGCACUUCUUUUAAGUUAUCCCUACCUGCCCAGCUCCCUUAUUAGGUUGAGACAUUUUAACUAAAUUAUCUCCUUCCCUGACUAUUCCUAGGCUACAGCCACACCUCAUUGCCGCCCUUUUCCCCAGUUCAAAGCCUCCUUCACAUCCUCCCCUUGUAUCUCCCCAUCUUAAUCCACCAUUUUGGGACACCUCUACUCCCUCUUUGGUGACCGAUCAUGCACCCCUUACCAUCCCAUUAAAACCUAAUCACCCUUACCUGAUCAAUGCCAGUAUCCCAUCCCACAGCAUGCUUUAAAAGGAUUAAACCCUGGUAUCACUUUCCUGUUACAGCAUGGCCUUUUAAAGCCUAUAAACUCCCCUUACUAUUCCCUCAUUUAACUGUCCAAAAACUGGACAAGUCUUACAGGUUAGUUCAGGAUCUGCACCUUAUCAACCAAAUUGUCUUGCCUAUCCACCCCGUGGUGCCAAACUCAGAUACUCUCCUAUCCUCAAUACAUCCCUCCGCAACCCAUUAUUCUGUUCUGGAUCUCCAACAUGCUUUCUUUACUAUUCCUUUGUACCUUUCAGCCCAGCCUCUCUUCACUUUCACUUGGAUUGACCCUGACACUCAUCAGGCUCAGCAAAUUACCUGGGCUAUACUACUGCAAGGCUUCAUGGACAGCCCCCAUUACUUCAGUCAAGUCCAAAUUUCUUCCUCAUCCAUUACCUAUCUCAGCAUAAUUCUUCAUGAAAACACACAUGCUCUCCCUGCUGAGCAUGUCCAGCUAAACUUUCAAACCCCAACCCCUUCUACAAAACAACAACUCCUUUCCUUCCUGGGCAUGGUUGGAUAGUUUCACCUUUGGAUACCUAGUUUUACCAUCCUGACUAAACCAUUAUACAAACUCACAAAAACAAACCUAGCUGACCCCAUAGAUCCUAAAUCCUUUCACCACUCAUCUUUCCGUUCCUUAAAAACAGCCCUAGAAGCUGCUCUCACACUAGCUCUCCUUAACUCAUCCCAACCCUUUUCAUUACACACAGCCGAAGUACAGGGCUGUGCGGUUGAAAUUCUUACACAAGAGCCAGGACCACGCCCUGUAGCCUUCCUAUCCAAACUACUUGACCUCACUGUUUUAGACUGGCUCCCACAUUAUUCCAGAUACCACACCUGACCCCCAUGACUGUAUCUCUCUGAUCCACCUGACAUUUACUCCAUUUCUCUAUAUUUUCUUCUUUCCUGUUCUUCACCCUGAUCACACUUGGUUUAUUGAUGUCAGUUCCACCAGGCCUAAUCGCCACUCACCAGCAAAGGCAGGCUUUGCUAUAGUAUCUUCCACAUCUAUCAUUGAGGCUCCUGCUCUGCCCCCUCCACUACCUCUCAGCAAGCCAAACUCAUUGCCUUAACUCAGGCCCUCACUCUUGCAAAAGGAGUACAUGUCAAUGUUUAUACUGACUCUAAAUAUGCCUUCCAUAUCCUGCACCACCAUGCUAUUAUAUGGGCAGAAAGAGGUUUCCUCACUACGUAAGGGUCCUCCAUCAUUAAUGCCUCUUUAAUAAAAACUCUUCUCAAGACCACUUUACUUCCAAAGGAAGCUGGAGUCAUUCACUGCAAAGGCCAUCAAAAGGCAUCAGAUCCCAUCACUCAGGGCAACACUUAUGCCGAUAAGGUAGCUAAAGAAGCAGCUAGUGUUCCAACUUCAGUCCUUCACAGCCAGUUUUUCUCCUCAUCAGUAACUCC
Long non-coding RNA from Homo sapiens (human), 4575 nucleotides. The record is from Ensembl. Lineage: Eukaryota; Metazoa; Chordata; Mammalia; Primates; Hominidae.